RNAcentral lists this ribosomal RNA (298 nucleotides) under uncultured Fusobacterium sp. Its description in RNAcentral is "partial 16S ribosomal RNA". It matches the Rfam family "Bacterial small subunit ribosomal RNA", at positions 1217 to 1513 of the family's 1533-position model. The record is from RNAcentral. Lineage: Bacteria; Fusobacteriati; Fusobacteriota; Fusobacteriia; Fusobacteriales; Fusobacteriaceae.
CACACGUGCUACAAUGGGUAGAACAGAGAGUCGCAAAGCUGUGAAGUGGAGCUAAUCUCAGAAAACUAUUCUUAGUUCGGAUUGUACUCUGCAACUCGAGUACAUGAAGUUGGAAUCGCUAGUAAUCGCGAAUCAGCAAUGUCGCGGUGAAUACGUUCUCGGGUCUUGUACACACCGCCCGUCACACCACGAGAGUUGGUUGCACCUGAAGUAGCAGGCCUAACCGUAAGGAGGGAUGCUCCGAGGGUGUGAUUAGCGAUUGGGGUGAAGUCGUAACAAGGUAUCCGUACGGGAACGU